AGAAAGAUAAGAGAAAGAAAGAAAGAAAGAAAGGGGCUCCUCCUCCUCUUCUUAUUUCCCGUAUCGUUCUUAUCCUGUUUUUUUUCUU
This 88-nucleotide non-coding RNA is filed under the name Chloropicon mariensis. The record is from RNAcentral. Lineage: Eukaryota; Viridiplantae; Chlorophyta; Chloropicophyceae; Chloropicales; Chloropicaceae.